CCUACGGGAGGCAGCAGUGAGGAAUAUUGGUCAAUGGACGAGAGUCUGAACCAGCCAAGUCGCGUGAAGGAUGACUGCCCUAUGGGUUGUAAACUUCUUUUAUCAAGGAAUAAAACGAGGCACGUGUGCCCUUUUGCAUGUACUUUAUGCAUAAGGAUCGGCUAACUCAUUGCCAGCAGCCGCGGUAAUACGGAGGAUCCGAGCGUUAUCCGGCUUUGUUGGGUGUAAAGGGAGCGUAGAUGGGUUGUUAAGUCAGUUGUGAAAGUUUGCGGCUCAACCGUAAAAUUGCAAUUGAAACUGGCAGUCUUGAGUACAGUAGAGGUAGGCGGAAUUCGUGGUGUAGCGGUGAAAUGCUUAGAUAUCACGAAGAACCCCGAUUGCGAAGGCAGCUUACUAAACUGUGACUGACAUUGAUGCUCGAAAGUGUGGGUAUCAAACAGGAUUAGAUACCCGUGUAGUC
RNAcentral lists this ribosomal RNA (460 nucleotides) under uncultured bacterium. RNAcentral's name for it is "partial 16S ribosomal RNA". It matches the Rfam family "Bacterial small subunit ribosomal RNA", at positions 338 to 795 of the family's 1533-position model. The record is from RNAcentral.